GUGAAAUUCCGUCGGAAUCCGGGAGGACCAUCUCCCAAGGCUAAAUACUCCCUAGUGACCGAUAGUGAACCAGUACCGUGAGGGAAAGGUGAAAAGCACCCCGGAAGGGGAGUGAAACAGUUCCUGAAACCGUGUGCCUACAAGUAGUUAGAGCCCGUUAAUGGGUGAUAGCGUGCCUUUUGUAGAAUGAACCGGCGAGUUACGAUUUGUUGCAAGGUUAAGCGGAAAAAGCGGAGCCGUAGCGAAAGCGAGUCUGAAUAGGGCGCAUAAGUAACAGGUCGUAGACCCGAAACCAGGUGAUCUACCCAUGUCCAGGAUGAAGGUAAGGUAAUACUUACUGGAGGUCCGAACCCACGCACGUUGAAAAGUGCGGGGAUGAGGUGUGGGUAGCGGAGAAAUUCCAAUCGAACUUGGAGAUAGCUGGUUCUCUCCGAAAUAGCUUUAGGGCUAGCCUCGAGGUAAAGAGUCAUGGAGGUAGAGCACUGUUUGGACUAGGGGCCCUUCUCGGGUUACCGAAUUCAGAUAAACUCCGAAUGCCAUGUACUUAUACUCGGGAGUCAGACUGCGAGUGAUAAGAUCCGUAGUCGAAAGGGAAACAGCCCAGACCACCAGUUAAGGUCCCCAAAUAUAUGUUAAGUGGAAAAGGAUGUGGGGUUGCUUAGACAACCAGGAUGUUGGCUUAGAAGCAGCCACCAUUGAAAGAGUGCGUAAUAGCUCACUGGUCGAGUGACCCCGCGCCGAAAAUGUACCGGGGCUAAACAUAUUACCGAAACUGUGGAUGAACCUCUUUAGAGGUUCGUGGUAGGAGAGCGUUCUAAGGGCGGUGAAGUCAGACCGGAAGGACUGGUGGAGCGCUUAGAAGUGAGAAUGCCGGUAUGAGUAGCGAAAGAAGGGUGAGAAUCCCUUCCACCGAAUAUCUAAGGUUUCCUGAGGAAGGCUCGUCCGCUCAGGGUUAGUCGGGACCUAAGCCGAGGCCGAUAGGCGUAGGCGAUGGACAACAGGUAGAGAUUCCUGUACCAGUGCUAAUUGUUUAACCGAUG
RNAcentral lists this ribosomal RNA (1040 nucleotides) under Listeria monocytogenes. RNAcentral describes it as "partial 23S ribosomal RNA". It matches the Rfam family "Bacterial large subunit ribosomal RNA", at positions 426 to 1466 of the family's 2925-position model. The record is from RNAcentral. Lineage: Bacteria; Bacillati; Bacillota; Bacilli; Caryophanales; Listeriaceae.